This is a non-coding RNA of Pelobates cultripes (western spadefoot toad), 287 nucleotides long. NCBI's taxonomy places the organism in Eukaryota, Metazoa, Chordata, Amphibia, Anura, Pelobatidae. The record is from the annotation of a GenBank genome assembly.
GUUUUAUCUAAAUAACAAUUAUUAUUUAAAAUGAGCUUUAAUGUCCAAUAAAAGCUAAUGAGUAUAUUUACAAGUCUCUUACACAAUGCAAACUUAAUGUUAGAGAAGCAGAGGAGUAAAGGUGGUAGAGAAAGAAUACAUGGUUUUCCUUACUUUUCAAAAUUACCAGCAUGCAAAAAAAUCUUGAAUACUUCUUAUUACUAGACUAUCUGCAUUUUGAAGUCUAAUAACAACAAGUCCUGAAGUGUCCCUUCAAUAUACACCUUUUCUGAAGGACUAAAUGGAAU